AAACUACAGUUAAGGAACUCGGCAAAUUAGCCCCGUAAGUUCGCAAGAAGGGGUACCCGCGAGGGUUCAAUAAAGAGGCACGAACGACUGUUUAUCAAAAACACAGCUCUCUGCUAACUCGUAAGAGGAUGUAUAGGGGGUGACGCCUGCCCGGUGCUCCAAGGUUAAGAGGAGAGGUUAGUUAGCAAGCAAUUGUUAGUGAAGCUUUGAAUUGAAGCCCGAGUGAACGGCGGCCGUAACUAUAACGGUCCAAAGGUAGCGAAAUUCCUUGUCAGGUAAGUUCUGACCCGCAUGAAAGGCGUAACGAUUCGUGUACUGUCUCGACUGUAGACUCGUGAAAUCUUAGUACCGGUGAAGAUGCCGGUUACCCGCAACUAGACGGAAAGACCCCGUGGAGCUUUACUGCAACUUGAUAUUGGGUUUUUCUCUGCUUUGUACAGGAUAGGUGGGAGACUGUGAAGCCAAGACGCCAGUUUUGGUGGAGUCGUCCUUGGGAUACCACUCUGAGCGGCGGAGAAUUCUAACUUAUUGGUUUACAGCCAAAAGGACAGUGUCUGGUGGGUAGUUUGACUGGGGCGGUCGCCUCCUAAAAAGUAACGGAGGUGUUCAUAAGGUAUCCUCAAUAGGUAUAGAAAUCCUAUGGCGAGUGCAAAGGCAAAAGGAUGCUUAACUGUGAGACUUACAAGUCGAACAGAUACGAAAGUAGGACUUAGUGAUCCGGCGGUUCUUAGUGGUAGGGCCGUCGCUAAACGGACAAAAGUUACCCCGGGGAUAACAGGCUAAUACUUUCCAAGAGUCCAUAUCGACGAAAGUGUUUGGCACCUCGAUGUCGACUCAUCGCAUCCUGGAGGUGAAGAAGCUUCCAAGGGUUGGGCUGUUCGCCCAUUAAAGCGGUACGUGAGUUGGGUUUAGAACGUCGUGAGACAGUUUGGUCCCUAUCUGUUGUGGGCGUAGGAAAUUUGCGGAGAGCUGCUCCUAGUACGAAAGGACCGGAGUGGACUGACCAAUGAUGUACCAGUUGUCAUGUCAAUGGCACGGCUGGAUAGUUAUGUCGGGAAUAGAUAAGCACUGAAAGCAUAUAAGUGCGAAACUAACUCCAAGAUAAGAUUUCCCAUCCGUAAGGAGUAAGAUACCUUCUAGACCAGGAGGUUGAUAGGUGGCAAGUGUAAGAGUGUAUACAUGAAGACUCUCAGCUAAGCCAUACUAAUUUAUCGAGGACUUACUAC
This 1226-nucleotide ribosomal RNA is filed under the name metagenome. Its description in RNAcentral is "bacterial LSU rRNA". It matches the Rfam family "Bacterial large subunit ribosomal RNA", at positions 1696 to 2925 of the family's 2925-position model. The record is from RNAcentral.